Molecule: non-coding RNA, 24 nt
Filed under: Arabidopsis thaliana (thale cress)
Lineage: Eukaryota; Viridiplantae; Streptophyta; Magnoliopsida; Brassicales; Brassicaceae
Source: RNAcentral
AAGAUGAGAAUUGUCAUGAUGGGU